This 506-nucleotide ribosomal RNA is filed under the name uncultured bacterium. RNAcentral's name for it is "partial 16S ribosomal RNA". It matches the Rfam family "Bacterial small subunit ribosomal RNA", at positions 28 to 523 of the family's 1533-position model. The record is from RNAcentral.
GAUGAACGCUAGCUACAGGCUUAACACAUGCAAGUCGAGGGGUAACGAGAGGAAAGCUUGCUUUCCUUGUCGACGACCGGCGCACGGGUGAGUAACGCGUAUCCAACCUGCCCCCAACUAGGGAAUAACCUUGCGAAAGUAAGACUAAUACCCUAUAAUUUCCUCAGAUGUCAUCUGACGAGGAAUAAAGAUUUAUCGGUUGUGGAUGGGGAUGCGUCUGAUUAGCUGGUUGGCUGGGUAACGGCCCACCAAGGCAACGAUCAGUAGGGGUUCUGAGAGGAAGGUCCCCAACAUUGGAACUGCGACACGGUCCAAACUCCUAAGGGAGGCAGCAGUGAAGAAUAUUGGUCAAUGGGCGGAAGCCUGAACCAGCCAAGUAGCGUGCAGGAUGACGGCCCUAUGGGUUGUAAACUGCUUUCAUACAGGAAUAACGUUAGCCACGUGUGGUUAUUUGUAGGUACUGUAUGAAUAAGGACCGGCUAAUUCCGUGCCAGCAGCCGCGGUAA